This 20-nucleotide microRNA is filed under the name Pteropus alecto (black flying fox). RNAcentral describes it as "pal-miR-378d-5p". Its record names the gene pal-miR-378d-5p. The record is from miRBase by way of RNAcentral. Lineage: Eukaryota; Metazoa; Chordata; Mammalia; Chiroptera; Pteropodidae.
UCUGAAGGUCUUGCCAGUGA